RNAcentral lists this ribosomal RNA (389 nucleotides) under uncultured bacterium. Its description in RNAcentral is "bacterial SSU rRNA". It matches the Rfam family "Bacterial small subunit ribosomal RNA", at positions 29 to 424 of the family's 1533-position model. The record is from RNAcentral.
AUUGAACGCUGGCGGAAUGCUUUACACAUGCAAGUCGAGCGGCAGCGCGGGGGCAACCCUGGCGGCGAGCGGCGAACGGGUGAGUAAUACAUCGGAACAUGUCCAGUCGUGGGGGAUAGCCCGGCGAAAGCCGGAUUAAUACCGCAUGAGCUCGAGAGAGGAAAGCGGGGGACCGUAAGGCCUCGCGCGACUGGGUUGGCCGAUGUCCGAUUAGCUAGUUGGUGGGGUAAAGGCCACCAAGGCGAUGAUCGGUAGCUGGUCUGAGAGGAUGAUCAGCCACACUGGGACUGAGACACGGCCCAGACUCCUACGGGAGGCAGCAGUGGGGAAUUUUGGACAAUGGGGAAACCCUGAUCCCGCCAUUCCGCGUGAGUGAAGAAGGCCUGGUU